UAUGCUUGUGCCUUGUUCCCUGUGUUUGUUUCUUUACAUUCUGGAUUACUUUGUUGACCUUAUUGUUUGCUUAAAAGCUACAUUUAGAUAUUUAAUCCUUGCCUGCCUCAUUACACAUUACUAUAUAACUUACCUUAGGGAAGUGGGUAAAACAGAAUGUAAGAGCAAUCUACUUUAUAGCUCUGUGGUACUGGGUUUAUGGAAGCUGCGCAGCGCUCCCUAGCUUUUAACGGACACAGCGGAUCACAGGAUGUGUGGAAUGUAUAAACUCCAAGGUCGUCAUACAUCUCCCAGACAUAUGGAGACCUCCUGCUGUACGCCACAUAAUGUCCAAGAGCAUCCUGGGUUAAGCCUCUUUUCAAAGCAAUGAUUGUCCUUAAAGCAAAUCUCUCUCCUUGGAGCAUCAGAUUGGAGGGAAAUUCCCACAAAGGAAAUUCUGUGGAGUUGCUUCCCAGAUGGAUCUGCAUGGAGCCAUUCAGGACAAGGAGAGAGAUAUGAAUUCCUCUUCCUCUUUUUGGGUGGAACUGCUAAGCCUCUCCAGUUUUCAACAGCGUCUUCAUAUGUUGGAUGGAUGUUUGUGACAUUUCAGAUUUCCCAGAACAGGAAGCAUCCAUUUCUGGUUUUCCAUCUACACUGCAAAUUGUGAACAAAUUUUCAUGUUGCAAUGAAUCCAUCCACCCGAAUAGGCAAGUUUUCAUGCAUGGAAAAGGGCACGUUUGAUGUUUUUGAACUCUGCUUCAACAUUGGCUGAACUUGAGUUGAUGUUGGUGUUUCGAAAGUGAGGGAUCAUUACCCCUGUCCAGAGUGGUCUGUCUGUGUUUGGUCACAUGGAUCCACUUCCAGGUCCUCACCCUCUACAUCUGGAAUGAUGACACACCCUUUUUUUAUUUCUUGCACCUUUCUGAUAUGAGGUGAGCUCCAGAAUUGUCACUGCCCUCUGCUUUGCUGAGAGCCACAACAGUAAUACUGCGUAUUAUUAGUAGCUCGUUUUGCAUCGUCCAUGGAAUGUGACAUGAGAAGCUGUGCCAUUGACCUCACAAAGAAAUCUUUAAUGCGGCAGAUCAAACAAGGUGGCACUUUUGCUGACUAAACAGACUAAACCGAGUAAGACACCACAACACUUAUUGAUGUAGGUAUUUAGAUCAGGAUGAGGAGUAAAAGCCUUGACCAGAGCUCCGAGCAAAGCCAGAGAAAAGUCACUCACAACCUCUUUUGGAGUUGGUGCACCUGCACGUAUCCAUUCUGUCAGCCAGUGUAUUAUUGCAUUAAUAUUGUGUCUUUCUGACAGCAUUUGCACCUCUGGGACACUUGAGCUCUCAUCCCCUGCCAGAAUGCCCUGAUAUAAGAAUAUAUGGUCAGACUUGCCAUUUGGUCUCUGUAGUUUCCUUACUUCUGAGCCAGUUGCAUCAAAACUCAC
Long non-coding RNA from Xyrauchen texanus (razorback sucker), 1417 nucleotides. RefSeq lists it as uncharacterized. The transcript is spliced from 6 exons. Lineage: Eukaryota; Metazoa; Chordata; Actinopteri; Cypriniformes; Catostomidae. The record is from RefSeq and is a predicted model, not a curated record.